This 245-nucleotide ribosomal RNA is filed under the name uncultured bacterium. Its description in RNAcentral is "partial 16S ribosomal RNA". It matches the Rfam family "Bacterial small subunit ribosomal RNA", at positions 528 to 772 of the family's 1533-position model. The record is from RNAcentral.
UAGGUGGCAAGCGUUGUCCGGAUUUACUGGGUGUAAAGGGCGUGUAGGCGGGACUGCAAGUCAGAUGUGAAAACUAUGGGCUUAACCCAUAGCCUGCAUUUGAAACUGUGGUUCUUGAGUACUGGAGAGGCAGGCGGAAUUCCUCGUGUAGCGGUGAAAUGCGUAGAUAUGAGGAGGAACACCAGUGGCGAAGGCGGCCUGCUGGACAGCAACUGACGCUGAGGCGCGAAAGCGUGGGGAGCAAA